CUGUUGUAGACAGAAUAAAUACAGGUUUCUUGGAGUAAAGAUAUCUAACUUUUAAAAAUGUAUAUUUCCAGGGAAAAGACAUUAGGAAAGGCUUCCUGGAGAACGACAUCUGAGUCUUGAAGAACAGGCAGGAGUUAUCCAGGUGAAGAUAAGGGAAAAAGCCAGGCAGUUGAAGAAAUAGAACUAAAUACGAGCGGCUUGUAGACAGCAAAGGUCAAAUAAGAGAAUUAAACCAACGGAAGAUGAUGAAGGAAUGUCCUGCCCACCCUCCCAGAGCUAAUAAGUAGUC
This 289-nucleotide long non-coding RNA is filed under the name Homo sapiens (human). RNAcentral's name for it is "HSALNT0102663". The record is from RNAcentral. Lineage: Eukaryota; Metazoa; Chordata; Mammalia; Primates; Hominidae.